This 367-nucleotide ribosomal RNA is filed under the name uncultured organism. RNAcentral describes it as "bacterial LSU rRNA". It matches the Rfam family "Bacterial large subunit ribosomal RNA", at positions 2099 to 2465 of the family's 2925-position model. The record is from RNAcentral.
CUUUACUGUAGCUUGGCAGUGAUUUUCGGGACAUCUUGCGUAGGAUAGGUGGGAGGCUUUGAAGUCGGGAUUCCGGUUUCGACGGAGCCACCCUUGAAAUACCACCCUGGAUGUUCUGGGAAUCUAACCUGCGUCCGUUAUCCGGACGAGGGACACUGCCUGGUGGGCAGUUUGACUGGGGCGGUCGCCUCCUAAAACGUAACGGAGGCGUGCGAAGGUUCCCUCAGGCUGAUUGGAAACCAGCCGUAGAGUGUAAACGCAUAAGGGAGCUUGACUGUAAGACCGACAGGUCGAGCAGGUACGAAAGUAGGUGUUAGUGAUCCGGUGGUCCCGUAUGGAUGGGCCAUCGCUCAACGGAUAAAAGGUA